AUUUUAAAGGAAACUCAUUAUUAGGUUUGAAUGCUUUAUACGAAACCUCUAUACAGAUCCAAUCUUGAGGAUCAGAAUGAUUCUACAAUUUAUAAUAGUUGAAGGUGGCCUUAUUUUGUGAUAAACUGUUUCAUGUGUCAUUCUCAGUAAUAUUUCUUCUUCUUCAAGCCCUUGCUGUAAAAAGUUUGUCAUUUGCACCAGGUCAAUACUAUUUAAUUUAACAACCCUUUCUUUAAAUCUGCCUUGGGCAAGUUUUUACCAUCGCAGUGUCUGGCUGCUUGCUUCCAGACUUCCUGCUGCCCACUAAUUACUACUUCUGCAAUCCAUGUUAUGAUUUGAGUAAAUGUCCCAGGUAUUAGCAUUGUCAGAUCUGCUAGAGAUAAACCAGUGGAGCCUCUGCCCGUUGGAGGUGUUUACUUGUAGUGAUGUUAGGGAACAGUUCUGGGGAACAACUUUUAAAGUGGUGGAAGGUCCUGGGAGUUAUUCUUGCAUUGAUAUGUUAAGUGAAGCAAUGCCAACAAUAGCAUUUCAGUAGUGGAUUACAGCUCUACAGUUAUGGUGGGGUUCUUCCAUACAAUAUGAAGCUGGGACUCAACUCUUAGGAAACACCUGUUGUAUUGAGCAGUUUAACCUGUCGAGCAGUUACUUCAUGGUGCUGACUACAGUUGUGUGACUAUGUUCAGUGGUCAUGGUUAUACAUUUGCUUUUUUUAAAAAAAAAUUGUUUAUUUAUGGAAUUUCUGUACUACGGUAGACCAGGAGUAAGAGAAACUGUGGAUAAGUGGGGGACUACUGUAGUUAACAGAGAGGCAAAAUUAACCUGUUUUACAUUAGUGAUAAAAAUGUUUUUAAGCAGUGCCUCCCCAGAGUUUCUUCUUAUGAAGAUGAUGAACCCAAAAAGUAUUUCUUUGUUUUUCUUCACAUUCAGGUAGAAAUACACAGCCGUUUCCUGGGCUAUCCACAAUUCAGAUUUUUUGGAAUAUUUCAACAAAAGAGCAUCUGCAGUGUCCAAAUAGUAAUUCCAACCAGCGACUUUUUUCCUUAUUUGCUUUUUAAUGCUGUUUUUACAUUCUUUUUUGUCUACUGUGGCCUAAUUAUGUUGAUCGUUUUCUCCCCCUUUUAUAAGAUCGUUUACAUUCUUCUAAGUGAUGAGAUGUCCUCUCUGUUGAAUUUGUCUUUAUUUAAAUUAGCAACACUAUUUAGAAUUUCUCUUUCACGGUGCUGGUAAUUUCCUCAGUUUACAACAUGAGAACUGAAUGACCAUGCAAUCACAUUAAGAUGAAUGGCGGCUUUCACAGUAGAUUCCAUAGAGACACACCUUAGGGCUGGCUUAGGAAAUAGGAGGCUGGUGUUAUGUCCCCACUGACUUUGAUCUCACCAGUGGCAGCUUCAUUUUUAUUCUACGUUGGAGUAAUACAUAGACUUUGUUUGUUUCAUUGCUUUAAAAAUAAGUCUGAAAAGUCAUAACUACUGGUUAAGAUUAGAAAACAACUGGAUUUCAGCCCACCUUUUGGAAUAACACUGCUUGUGUUCUUGUCUCAUCCUGCUUUAAGAUACUUUCCUGGCUAUGUUUGAAUUACACUGAUUCUGCAUUAUGAUACACAGUCAUUCAGUAACCAUUCAUUAAUGCCUAUUCUUUACCCAGCCACUGUGAUAGACAUUGAGUAACAAAAAGAUGACUGAGAUUUGGCCCUGACCCUCAAGCUGUGCUUAGUAUUGUGAAGAUUACUUUCUCUUUUGGAACUUACCACUUUACUGGAAGGAUUUCUGCCUAGUUUUUCUUAAAACCUGAAUAUUCUUGUUCUGUACUCUUAUUCUGUAUUCCAAGUGUAUAUUUGCAAAUUGUUGAAUAUCUAGUUUUUAUUUUUACCUUAAACCAUAUCUGGUUUAGCUUGAUCAAUCUGUCUUUUAAACAUUGUCAGAUUUUUUCCUUUGUUAAAAUUAUUUUAAUUUUACUUUAUUUGUACCUUUAUUGUCAGUUUCAUCAAGACUAAAACUUUAAAGGUGAAAAACAAUCAGCCCGGUCUUGACCUAGUUGAAAUCAAAUAAAAAGUAUAUAUACCUAGUUGAUUUCUCUACCUCUUCCAAAAGCUGUCUAAAUAUACCUUUAAGACCUUUUUUUUUUUUAAUCUUUUUUUUUUUUUUUUAAUAGCUAAAUACUUGGAGCCUUUAUUCAGUAACAGGCACCCGCUUGGUCUGGUUGAUGGUGAGAUAUAAGGUAAAACAAGACAGUCUUCACUGUACUUAAAAUUUCUUACGUGCAGUCUUUGCUUUCAUAGUUUAACAUCCCAGUUUCACAUUUUGCCCCCUCCAGACCACCCCCUCAGUAUCUCUUUAGAUAACUAAGUAGUCUGUGGACAUAAGCAACACAUGACAUUUUCUUUUAUUCUGAUCUAACACAUUGAUGUUUAGAUGUGACAAAUUAUUGGUGCAUUUUCUUUCCUCCAUGAGUUUUACUUUGUGAAAUCCUUCAUCUUCAUUGGCUGAAUUUUGUUCUUCCUCUCCUUCUCUUGUCAACAUAUGUCCCUAGUGGUUUUGCUGGUUUCCCUCCUCCUUGCCAACCAUGUUUUAUCUACAUAUAGCGGAAUGUUUCUCUCUCUCUUGUAUUUUACUAAAGACCAAACAGGAUGGUGCUGUUCAUACCCAGGGUCCUAACUUCUUCACCAUGAAUAUUGAUGUUCAGAUUGGUCAGUCACUUAAAAGGAGAAAGUCCAGUUAAACAUCUUUGUGACUAGCAAAUAGCAUAAAUCAUCAGAUUCUGUUUUAUGUUUAGAAUUAUGAAUUAUUAUGGCAGUCGCAGCCUACAAUUCUAGCCCUGUUUCUACCUUGGAGCAUAUUGGAUUGUUGUAUUUAGUACAAUCAGGAGUAAUGAUGACAGUGUGUGGCUUCUGGAAGUCAUCAGAAUCAUCCUGUUGCGUUCCUAUUAUAUCUUUCUUUCCAGGUUUUCAUGAAUAUUUUGUCUGUUCAGACUACUUUUUAUGUUUGGGGAUUGAGGGACAAAUUAUCUCUUGGCAUGGAAUUCCUAUGUUUGUUGCCUCAACCAGGAAAUCUGAACUAUACUAGAGAUAGCCUUGUGGUAGUCUUUAUGAAAAGAAUUUCUUGUCUAAUGUGUUCACAUAAUUUCUUAAAUAGGAACUGUUUUACCUUGGAUAUUAUAGCUAACUUUACAUAUAGCAUAACUGCCUUAAAUCUUUUUAGUAGGAAAUAUAUAGUGUGUAUCUAUGGAUUUAUAUAUACAUACAAGUACAUGCAGAAGAACCUUAGCCAUAGGGGUCAUUUAUCUGCAUACACUUAGCAGUGUUGAACGCUUCCGUUGUUUAAAUUCCAGAUCUCAGUGAAAAGUUCUUAAUUUAUUUGCAGACAUUUUCCUUUCAUGGACAGACCAUCAGAGUAAUUUUUUUAUUCCACCAGAGUCCUAAUUUGGCAGUUCAGUUAAUAUGCCAUUUUUAGGUAGCUUGACAAUUAAGAACCAUAACUGUAAUUCAUUAACAUCAAAUAAAGCUCUGCCAUAUACCCCUUCAUUAAAUGAUUAUACAUGCAGUGGUCUCUGGAAGGUACUAGCUUUGGAUUUACUUCCUCUUUUCUCUUUACUCUUUUCUUUUUUCUUUUUCUUUUUUUUUUUCCUCUUUUUUCUUCUCUUCCUUUUUAAUAUUUGUGGUUCCCUGCCCCUGCCCUUAAUUCUUUUCCCCCUGGUGUCAAAUUGCUGCUUAAGAUACCCCAGGAAGUACCACUACCAAGUCAAAUUCUCCUGUACUUAAGGGUAACGUGAAGAUAGUGUAGACCUGACUUUCUUCGUUGCGCUCAACAGAAAUGGACUUUCUAAACUUUUUAGGGCCAUCUCUGAUUCACAGAGAAUAUGACUAGAUAGAGUAUAUUAACCUAAGUUAAUUUCAUUGUCAUUUGGUUUGCUACCAUAAGGUCCAUAAGACCCCAGAUUUCACCAUUAGUUGAGAUGUAAGGAUCUCUUAGAAGAAUAAUGCCACUGAUGAUGGGAGUAAGAAGGAUUUAUUAACUCUACACAAAGGACUUUUAGAUUUUUCUCCAAAAAAAUUUCCCCAAAAUGAUGUUCUCCUACCCUCAAAAAAAAAAAGGAAAAAGAAAGCUCUUCUCCAAAAUUUCCAGUUCUUUUGGGUUGGAGGUAGGGAUUUACUUCCUAUUUCUUAAAGAUGAUAAUUUACUGAGCAAUGAAAUCCAUAAUAUAUUGAUGUAAGGACACAAGUAAAGUUUUAGAAUUAUAAAAAUAACAUUUUCCAUUUCACACUCUACUGUUCUUCUUUCUCCCUGUGGCUUUAAAGCUUUUGGCUAUUUUACAAUGUUAGUCACUAGAUAACUUGCCACAUUUCUAGUUCUAUAUUAAGUUCUACCCUUUACAAUGCUGUAGCAUAGAGUCGGUUCUCAGCAUUUGUCUAGAGGAGUAGAAAUCUUGCUAAAGUCUCUUUUCCAAAGAUUGAAUUUUCCUUUUCUGAAUAAGUCCCUAAGAAAAUAUGUUUGUCACUUUCAUUAUUCACUUUCUUGAAUUGUUAAAACAAAGAAAUAUUGUUAAAACGAAUAUUGAUGAGAAAGAAUGGGGUCUUUUUCUGCUGAAUGUAUGUACCUGCUUUAAGAAUGUAGUCAUGUGUUGGUUUAUAUAAUUAAUAUACACAGAAUAAAUUGGGAGAAAUAAUUACCACAUAUGUAGCAAGUAGGUAAUAACAUGCAUGGAUAUUAAAUCUUUUUUUAUACCCUAUUUCUUGGCAAAGUACAGAACCCAAAUUGGUCAUAUCUUAGACCAACUAUACCUCAGGCUUCAUUUUUGCUUUUUUGACCCUGACCUUUUAAGGUGUAACUAUUUGUAUCUUUUUUAUUAGUGAUAGUGAAGCUGUGACACUAAUCAUUUUUAUACAAGAGGGCAAAACAAGAAAAACUUUAGAGAUUAAGAUGAAAGCAGUUCUGCACUUGUUGAACUAGAUCACAGCAUUGUAGGCAAAAUAAAAAUGGUCAUAUCUGAGAAUAUUCUUUUUUGCCGUCUUUUCCCAAGGUCAGACCUUCUGGUGGAACACAGUUAAAAGUAACAUAAUUCAGGGCCUUUGUAGUCUGAGAGAAAUAUUUCCAGUUGGUCUCUUCAAUAUUUGAAACAAGAAUGUGGGACAUAGUUGGCAAUAAAUGUUUUCACCAAAAUAUAUAUAUGAAAAAUCAUAUAAUGCUAAGUUAUUCAUUUAGCUCUUAAAAUCUCAAAAAGAUAGUAAAAUACUGUAUAACUGGACAAAAACAGAAGAACCUUUAGAGGACUUGUCUGAAAACAGGUUUCAAGGAUGAACUUAUGCACAUGCACUGCUCACAAAUUUGCUUAAGUACUACCAACUAUUCUUAAAAUGCAUACUGUUAAGUAAGAUAUUUAUGGACUUCCUAAGAACUAGCCAUUGGCAAGUAUCCUAAAAAUACUGAUGCCCACAUAGGUAGCCUUAUGCUCUUGAAAAUGCUUAUCUUUUCUCUAGUGAUACCGAAGGAGGAGUGAGUGGUGGUUUUAGGAUGAGCAGCUGCCCUGGUGUGCCAGGGGUUCCCUGGAUGCAGGACUUCCAUUGAUAAACCCAAGAAAGUUGCAAGUACCCCAGGAGUUGCUGAUCACCGUAGGUAUUCUUGUGAUUUACCCUCACUCCUUUAAACUUUGUAAUAGUCGUGAUUAAAUUCAGCUGCCCUGUGGCUUUCAACAUUCUGAUACUUAGAUAUGUGUCCUCCAAUCACUUAUUACUGUGGAUGGAAUGUGAGAUUUAUAACAGUUGCCAUUGGCACCAACCUGAUGAGAGACUAACACUAGUGAUCCAAGGAAGGUAACUGGUGGUUUAAUGAAAUAGAGAAGAGUCAAGUACAUAGCUAAGUUUUUCAGAACCUGUGCGUAUAUGUAAGUAUAAGUCCUGUCUUUAUAGAGUUGAAUGUAAUCUGAAAUUUACAUUUUUCACAGUAAGUGAAAAUUGAGUGCUUUUAUGGAUUUCUUCUCUCUUGAGGGAAAAUAUGGCCUUUGAUGCUCUUUCCUCUACUACAUUCCCCAGACUAUCCUGCUUAAGAAGCCAGAAUGUGAUAUUAUAUAUUUAUUCUUUGUAAAUGGUGUGUUGAGAUUAUUAAGUGCAUCAGCCAGUGGCAGGUGAACAAACUGGAUGUCCUGAUCCAGACUGAGCAAUGUCCUCAGAUUCUGAUAGCCUACCCUCAGGUGCUUACCAGCUGGAACACUGACCAUGGGAGGUGAGAUUUUUCUAAUACAGCAUUAAUUUUGUAAUGCAAUAUGAUGGAUGCAGAGUCUGUUCUUGUUUCCCUGUGGUAGUCCUCAAAAACUGCAUCCUCUGUGCACUGUGAUGUAGAUGGUAGAUGUGUUCUUUGUAAGCUUUAAUCCUAUGAUUGUCAAAAGUACAAUGUGGUUCCUUUUUUUUUUUUUCUUUUUACAUAAACAUGACCUGAGGCUUUAUUACAUCUGGUUUUCAAUUUAAAAUUGUGAAAUACUGAUUUCCCCCCACCAAAUAUUUUAGUCUAUUUAAAGUACAAAGAAAAAAUAGUCAUACUUAAGAAAACAUUGCUUAACUGUCCUGUGAUUUCUGGUCAAUUUUUAUAUAUAUAUGUGUGUGUCUCUGUGCUUUCACUUUUUACCUUGUUUGCUCUCUACCUGUGUUAACAGUACUUUCACCAUUGAAAGGUGAACAUUUUUCCUAGCAUUAAAAAAAAGCCAUUUGAGUUGUUUACCAUGUUAUUAUGGGACUUAUUUUUAAUUGUUCUAAUUGAUUUUGAUUUAAACCGAUCUUUUUCUUUUAGAGGGUAUUUUAUAUUUGCUGUUUGUGCCCUAAUGUAUAUGGAAACAAAAAAAGAUUGUGUAUAUUUCACAUAAUGGAGGUAUGAUAUGAAGAGUACGUUUUUUUAAAUUUGGUGUUAUAUAAAAAUUCCACUUCCCUGGCAGACAGAUCUGCACUGCUUAAUAACCUCCCACCCCCUCCCAGACACAGCACACACCCCACAGUGCUAGUAAGUUAUGCAUUUUAGUUUAUUUCAGAGCUCGUCUGUGCCAAAUUAAUAAUCUAAUACACAUGAUCUAUGCUGUAAACAAAAACAGACUAGAAGGUAAAAUUCACAUUUACUCUCGAAAUGUACUCUUAGGAAAAAAGCAAGUGCUGUUUUAUAAAAGAUUCCACUGAAAAAUAUUAAGUAAGACAUAGUGUACUCAUAAUUAGUCCUAUCAUCAUAAUGAAAUAUUUAAAAAAUUUUUUAGAUCAACCAGACUUCCUUUGUGCCUUGCAAGAGCUCAAUUCUCUGGAUGAAUCAAUACUUAUCUGGGUAGCAGACUGCUUUCUUUAAACAGACAUGCUUUAGGAUGUAACAAAAGGGACCUCAAAAGUUAAAAUACACUACUUUGCUUGGCAUUAAACAGUCCAGGGACUAUCAUGGUUUCAUCAACAAUUUUGUAUUGGUAGAAAACCUAUUUAAACAAUUCUACUUAAAUUGCCACACCAUACUAGAUAAGCAAUCUAAAAGGAAUCUUCCAACAUUGUACUAACAACAUCACUUCAGUUGACAGAAUGACUAGCAUUCUUUUUCGUUGUCACCUCACCUUGGGAACAUUUCUUUCAGCAGCCUGCUAGUGACAUUUUAUCUGCAUUGGGAGAUUUUUGUAACAACUCUGGUGUCCAUAAUGGCACAUAUUCUUCAAGGGGCUGAAGAAUAGGGGAGAAGUAUUAAGUUGUAUGUUUGGGCUUUCUCCCCACUUGGCAAAUCUUUUUUUCCCCCUUGCUUCAAAAUAGAUCAAAAGCCCCUAAGUGUGGGGAGCAGACAUAUUAGUAUCAGACUGAAGUACUGCAAUACAGUCAUUUUGCACCAGAUGUGUCUGAGAGCUAGAGUAGAGACAGUCUUCAUUUGCUACUUAACGACAUAUUUGCACUGUGUAGCUGUCCAGGUUGUUUUUUUUAACAGACUUUUGUCCUUUUCAUCAAAACAUGCAAGAUGAACCCAACCUGAAAAUUAAGUUCAAAAAUACAGGAAUACAGAAUAAAAAGUCAAAGGCAUACAUCAAAACUACUAUCUGCUACAGUGAAUAGGUUCAUCAUUGCUGUUGCUCCUGGCCAUUAUCACAUGACCUGCUUGAACACCCUCUGAACUCUGAGUCUGGCUUGUAUAGAACUAGAAGAGUCUACCUCAUAAGUGAGGUAAAAUGAAGCAUUCGAUUCAGAGAAACCUUUUCUCUUAAUGAACAUUCAUUAAUGCCACUUCCAAAACCUUUCUGGGACUUUUUAAAUGUGGAGAUACUGUGUAUCUGCUUCAUGCUGGUCAUUUUUAGAAGCAUGGAGUGUGUUAGGGAAGUUUUGCCAAUAAUGAUGCUUUAGCAAUAAUCUGAUCGAUCAUGGUGUGUUGUAACUGACAAAUUUUAAAGAAGGAAACACCACAGUUAUCUGUGUCCUGUUUCUAUAUUACAUGUAUCAAAAAUUGUCUGAAGAGUCUGACUCUGUGGAAGAAUUUAGGAAGUGAGCAUCUCUUUGGCAGCCCUAGAAAGUGGAGUUGACCUCAGCCUUCACCUUCUGUGUGUCCAGUGUUUACUUACCACAUUUUUCAGAGAACUGAAUAUAUUUCUCCCAGGAUACAUGUUUAAGUGGGCUUUCCUUCCCCAUAGUCAUCUUUAAUGGUCACAUGGUCACAUAACUUAUUUUGAUUAUCACAUUCAUGUAAAUACAUGAAAAUAUUUUGUGGUCUCUUACUGGCAGACCAGUGAAUAGGACUAUUUUUUAAUUUUUUUUUUUUUUUUUUACUUUCUAAUAUAUCUAUUAUUUUUGUAAAAUAUGAAAACAAUAACAAAAAGUCCUAUCCGUAUUACAAAAACCAGAGUAAAACACUGGUGUAAUUUUUUCUGCUUUUACUUUUGAUAUCUGUGUAUAUUCAUCAGGACAUGUUCAAAGCUCCUCUAAAACAGUACCUUCAGUUAGAGAAAGCUAUCACAAAUCUUAAGAAAAAUCUUUAAAAUUCAUUAAGCCAUUCAGCAAGCCAUGUAAUUUUCACUUGAUUUGAGCAACACAAAAUAUCUAUGUCAGUCUACUUAAAAUUUGAUGUUUGAAAUUAAAUUUAAAAAUUUUAGACAUCCUUUUCAUGCAUGUUUUUUAUGUACUAUAAAUGUGAAUAUAUACUUUGAUGUAUUUGAAACCAAACUUUUUUGUCUUGUCUGUUGCAAGUAUCCUAAAAUAAAAGUGUGCAAUGGAACCAA
Pteropus alecto (black flying fox) is the source of this 9204-nucleotide long non-coding RNA. RefSeq lists it as uncharacterized. The transcript has 2 exons. The record is from RefSeq and is a predicted model, not a curated record. NCBI's taxonomy places the organism in Eukaryota, Metazoa, Chordata, Mammalia, Chiroptera, Pteropodidae.